This 253-nucleotide ribosomal RNA is filed under the name uncultured bacterium. Its description in RNAcentral is "partial 16S ribosomal RNA". It matches the Rfam family "Bacterial small subunit ribosomal RNA", at positions 524 to 776 of the family's 1533-position model. The record is from RNAcentral.
UACGAGGGGGGCGAGCGUUGUUCGGAAUUAUUGGGCGUAAAGGGUGCGUAGGCGGUUUGGUAAGUCUUGUGUGAAAUCUACAGGCUCAACUUGUAGUCUGCACGAGAAACUGCCGGGCUUGAGUAUGGGAGAGGUGAGUGGAAUUCCUGGUGUAGCGGUGAAAUGCGUAGAUAUCAGGAGGAACACCUGUGGCGAAAGCGGCUCACUGGACCAUAACUGACGCUGAUGCACGAAAGCUAGGGGAGCAAGCAGG